RNAcentral lists this small nuclear RNA (95 nucleotides) under Myotis brandtii (Brandt's bat). Lineage: Eukaryota; Metazoa; Chordata; Mammalia; Chiroptera; Vespertilionidae. The record is from RNAcentral.
GUGCUCACUUUGGCAGCACAUAAGCUAAAAUUGAAAGAUUAGCAUGGCCCCUGCACAAGGAUGACAUGCAAAUUCAUGAAGCAUUCCAUAUAUAU